GGGUUUGUGGCUCAGUGGUAGAGCGCUCACCUAGCAUGUGUGAGGCCCUGGGUUCGAUGCUCAGCACCG
This 69-nucleotide transfer RNA is filed under the name Ictidomys tridecemlineatus (thirteen-lined ground squirrel). RNAcentral describes it as "Spermophilus tridecemlineatus (thirteen-lined ground squirrel) tRNA". It matches the Rfam family "tRNA". From Rfam's summary of the family: Transfer RNA (tRNA) molecules are approximately 80 nucleotides in length. The record is from Rfam by way of RNAcentral. Lineage: Eukaryota; Metazoa; Chordata; Mammalia; Rodentia; Sciuridae.